CUCUCCUCCAGUCCUCCCUCGCUCUCCAUCUCGCUCCUAUCUAGAUCUACUCUAGUUUAGAGAUCAGAGGAGAGCUCUCAUCUCCAAACCCUAGCUUUUGCUCUGUCUAUAAAUAAUGAAUAAUGAUCAAGGGGGUGUUUCCUCCAGGGGCUAGGGGGUUUGGUUAUAUAGUCCCCUCAAGUGAAUCUAGGCCGUCGGAUCAAACCGACAUUGAUUGAAUGAUUAUUCUUGAUCCUUUAGGUCGGUGGAGCAUAAUCCCCGAGUUGUACCCUGAUUGGGCAGAAUAGGAGGGUGGGCGCCCUAAGGACUAGGGCGGGCGCCCUGUCCCUGAGCCCUCUCGGCUUCUGCUUUGUUCCCGUGGCUUCUGGAGUCUUCUAGAUGAUAGAAAAUUGCGCGACACGUUAAUAUCUCUAUGUAAACCUGACGUAUGGGCCUUUCUUCCGUAUUUCCUGAUAACCCCCUACAGAAAUAGACAAACACCAAAACUCGUGGAAUUCUGUCAGAUAAAACCCUAAGUCUGGGUGUUGGUUGCAUUUGGAUCCUUUUCUUUAUUUAUUUGAUGAUUAUAUUUGGUACUUAAGGACCGUCAACAAACUCCCCCAAGCUUACCUCUUGCUCGUCCCUGAGCAAGGAUGGACUCAAGAGUUUUUGCAGUGGUUUUAUGCCUUAAAGGUACUCAUGCGUUCAAACAAGAUCUCAUCUCUAGGUUAAGGUAAACUGUUAAGAUUUAAAACUUACUCAUUUUACCUUCCACCAUGGGGCUUGCAACCGUCACUUGUGUCUUGAGCAGUUAAAAGAUAGAAAAGGUACUCUGGAGUUUUUGUAGAUUUUCAAUUAAAACUAAGAGAUUCCUGUAUGACUCUCUCUAGUGUCUCUUUUGUGGUAUUUCUGGAUCCUUACCAAGGCAGUGAUGAUAUAUGCCUUCUCUCAAAGUAUGUGGUAUUUUUGGUAUGAGGCAUAGUGACAUUGCCUUCUCUCUCACCCUACUCUAAUAAGGUUUUGAUAUCUGGAGCUCAUAGGUGGGAGACAGCUAAUACAUACUUACAAGACAUUUAUUGCAUAGUCAAACCAUGGAUCCAGAGAAACAAGUCAAUAAGUCAAAUCAAGAUGUGCAUGUGUGGCGAAUGAAUGGUGUAUGGUGAUGAUGGUGAUAAUGGUGAAAACAAUGGUGAAAGUCUAAUUCUACUUUUGCUAUUUUGAGGGAAUACAUACCUUUCUCGCACUUUGAAGGUUUUUGAGAGGAAUAAGAUGCUCUAUAUUUUCUUUUUCUUUUCUCUUAGGUGGGUAUCCUGUACCCCUAAUUCUACUUGUCGGACACUUGUCCAUUUUUACCUCUCGUCUCACUUUUUUUUUCUUCGAGGUUCCAGGCACUUGCCCCUUUUUAUCUCCUCGUAUUAUUUAUUUUUUUCUUUUUUUUUCAGAGCACUCACCCUCCUAGAAUAAUGUAGCAAGUGGUAGUAACUAAAAUAUCAAGAGCAUUUAUUUCACGGGGAAUAACAGGGAUAGGAUAAUGUUUUUUGCUAUUCUCUCCUGGAUAGGAGUAGAAUAAUUUUAGGUGAAUCUGGAGAUGGAAAGGAGUGGAUGUAUGUGGAUGCGUACUUCUAGAGUAGAAGCAGCAUGUAUGAGUGAACGUGCAAGUGAAUGUUGAUUUUAACCGCAUGACAAGCUCCUAAGGGUCUACACAGCUUGACCACACUCAAUGCUCGUAAGCAGUAAAAAGUAAAUGUAUGGUUCAUAGUCUAAUAAGCAUGUAUAUAUGGCUGUGGUAGGAUUUUAAACUCUCAUCAUAGAGGAACUCAUCAUGCAACAUUUUAAAGAUUUUCAAAGAUAAAAUUCUCCAGAAUUCUAGCAUCUCUAGGAACAGAUAGUAGCUCAGCCUUCCCAUAUCAUAUCUGUUAACGACCUAGACUUUAGAUCAAGUACUCUUCCCAAAAGUUCAGGUUUAGAGCAAAUCUUAAUUCAUAACAGUCAUGCCUAAACUUGAGAGAGAAUUUAAUUUUGAGAACUAGUCAUGGCAGAGCAACUAUUCAUCAUUUCCAUAUGAGAGCUUAUCAUGAGGGUUCAUAGUAAACUUUAUUUAUUUAUUUAUUGAGCAAACUAAGCAAAGAUAUAUAUAAGCACAAAAUCUUUAUUUGGGUUUUUAUGAUUAUGCAUCUUUUUAUUAUUUGAGUAAAGUAUAAACGCGAGUAGAAACACAUAGCUGGAUAAUUGGGGGUGCUCUCCCCCAAGCUGGAUUUUGACGUAAUUUCUUCUGAUGUAGCUAGCAGGUGGCGGAGGUGUAUUUGAAUGUCGGCAGUACCCUGACAGCGAUUAGGAUGUCCUCCGUCUGCUAGUCUUCUUUGAUCCUUAAAUUCUGUGGAGCUCAAAUAGACAACAAAGCUUUGUGGAACUGGUUAAGUGUUAGCAUAAAUAUCUAGCCUUUAUCAUGUUGAGCCUCCUCAAUAAAUGUUGCUCUCUUUGGUAGGAUCAUAAAUUUAUUUUUAUAUUUUUAUUGUAAGAUGAAAACAUAUUUAUUUAUGCCACCACAGUCAAUAUACCUAUGGGUUUUAAACCACAAGUCUACUUUCAUGGUGCUUUAGAUUUUAUGAUGCAGUGCA
Molecule: long non-coding RNA, 2597 nt
Filed under: Sorghum bicolor (sorghum)
Lineage: Eukaryota; Viridiplantae; Streptophyta; Magnoliopsida; Poales; Poaceae
Description: long non-coding RNA (SBIC_LNC014274)
Source: RNAcentral